RNAcentral lists this small RNA (94 nucleotides) under Leminorella richardii. Its description in RNAcentral is "Gammaprotebacteria rimP leader". It matches the Rfam family "Gammaprotebacteria rimP leader", at positions 13 to 102 of the family's 102-position model. Lineage: Bacteria; Pseudomonadati; Pseudomonadota; Gammaproteobacteria; Enterobacterales; Budviciaceae. The record is from RNAcentral.
CAUAAACAGGGUCCAGUUACAAAAAGCCCCGACUUAUUAAUCGGGGUUUUUUGUUAUUUGACAGCAAAAUCACUGGGCUUUAGGCCCUUUUUUU